This 698-nucleotide ribosomal RNA is filed under the name uncultured euryarchaeote. RNAcentral's name for it is "bacterial SSU rRNA". It matches the Rfam family "Archaeal small subunit ribosomal RNA", at positions 180 to 879 of the family's 1478-position model. Lineage: Archaea; Methanobacteriati; Methanobacteriota. The record is from RNAcentral.
CUUACGGUUGAAAGCUUUAGCGUCUGAGGAUGGGUCUGCGGCCGAUUAGGUAGUUGCUGGGGUAACGUCCCAACAAGCCGAUAAUCGGUACGGGUUGUGAGAGCAAGAGCCCGGAGAUGGAUUCUGAGACACGAAUCCAGGUCCUACGGGGCGCAGCAGGCGCGAAAACUUUACACUGCGCGAAAGCGCGAUAAGGGGACCUCGAGUGCGUGCGCAAUGCGUACGCUUUUCAGAUGCCUAAAAAGCAUGUGGAAUAAGGGCCGGGCAAGACCGGUGCCAGCCGCCGCGGUAACACCGGCGGCUCAAGUGGUGGCCGCUAUUAUUGGGCUUAAAGGGUCCGUAGCCGGACCAGUUAGUCCCUUGGGAAAUCUUACGGCUUAACCGUAAGGCUGCCAAUGGAUACUGCUGGUCUUGGGACCGGGAGAGGUAAGAGGUACCUCAGGGGUAGGAGUGAAAUCCUGUAAUCCUUGAGGGACCGCCAGUGGCGAAGGCGUCUUACUAGAACGGGUCCGACGGUGAGGGACGAAAGCUAGGGGCACGAACCGGAUUAGAUACCCGGGUAGUCCUAGCCGUAAACGAUGCGAGCUAGGUGUCACGUGGAUUGCGAAUCCAUGUGGUGCCGAAGGGAAACCGUGAAGCUCGCCGCCUGGGAAGUACGGCCGCAAGGCUGAAACUUAAAGGAAUUGGCGGGGGAGCAC